UUCUUCCUUUUGGAUCUUAGAAAGGAAACACACGGCAGAUACAGCGCAUUAUGCAAGGGCCCCAGCUGGCUCUGGGGCCGCUCCGCUCCCCAGUGUCCAGCAUCUCAGCAGUUCUGGAGGUAAAUAGAGACGAUACCCUGAGCGGGUAGUCAGGGAGCCCGCUGCUGGAAAGGUGUUCAAAGUCCCAGAGACACACGGAAGGUCCUUCAACAAUACAGCGAGUUUCCCAUGAGCGUGCGCUCCGCUGGCGACUGCGAUUUUCCUGACACCUGCGGAAGAGGAAGAUCUGUUCAGCUUGUCUCUCCCAUGACACUUAAUUUCGGCUUCUAUCACCAGGACGCCGACAGGCCCACACUCUUCCUCACCGAGAACUCUGCUCAGCCCUGGGUGUUGAAUUUGGCUGUGGGCUCAGCCGGAGGGCAGCCGGGGGCAACAGCAUCCAGCAGAGACCGAGAGAUUGUAGUUAAAGCCAGUCUUUCGUGGCGAUGACCCAUCCAUGGUGAAAAAUGAAUUACAGGCAAUGGAAGAGGAAACAUCACCAGAAAAACCAAACCAAGAGAUAAUUUGGGAUGGUAUAACCUUUGAAAUAAGUAUGGUAAACUAAAAAAAAAAAAAAAAAAAAAAAAAAGAAAGAAAGAAAGAAAGAAAAAGACAAAGAAAAAAAAAAAACCUGUUUGAGAAAGGUAUUUUCCCCCUAUCUUAAUAGUUAGACAAUUUACGUAAACUUAAAAUAUCCGGAGCUGAGACCCUGUCCCAGUUACGUGGGAUUGCAAGUGUCAUUCUCUGACACAAACCACGUUGCUCUGAGAGCUGUUGCUGUAUGUCCUCUCCAUGUCACAUCCUCCUGGGGACAGGUGAUGCUCGCAUCUCAAGCCUUAGACGCACAUCUCCCGGGUGCUGGACUCACUGAAGGAGGAGCAGAGGGGAGGGUGCCUGUCCUCCUCCUCGCCCUCGGCUGACUGCCGACAAGGACUGAGAAAGGUUUUCCAGCAGAUGGAUGCCUACAGCCCAGGGGAUGGACCGUAAGAGCUGCAUUAUGUAACCCUUCAGGUAUCCAGGCAUGUGACACUCAUGGAAACUGACAAGCUGGCAUCCAACAUCCUCGUAACUGACCCGAUUAGAAAAACAUACGUUAGCCACAGGCAAAACACUGUAGUUGCUUCAGGAACCCUACUGCUCCUCUCAAUAUUGACCUCGUGCAUUUGUGGUACCCCCCCAGUCUCCUUCAUUACAGUGUAGUCAUUAUCAGGAUAAAAAGUCCACAGCUUCUCAUACCUUUUAAAAAUAUUUCCUUAAAAUGAAAGACUUCAAUGGCUUCUGACAUUUUAGGUGAGAUCUUUAUGAUAUAAAUGUAACUGCAUGAUACAGUCCCUGAUGAAAUAUUUAAUGACUGAGAGAAAGAAUAAAUUUCUUCCCACAAAAUGG
Sus scrofa (pig) is the source of this 1425-nucleotide non-coding RNA. Lineage: Eukaryota; Metazoa; Chordata; Mammalia; Artiodactyla; Suidae. The record is from RefSeq and is a predicted model, not a curated record.